Molecule: ribosomal RNA, 664 nt
Filed under: Acinetobacter radioresistens WC-A-157
Lineage: Bacteria; Pseudomonadati; Pseudomonadota; Gammaproteobacteria; Moraxellales; Moraxellaceae
Description: bacterial SSU rRNA
Rfam family: Bacterial small subunit ribosomal RNA
Source: RNAcentral
ACUGGAUUCAGCGGCGGACGGGUGAGUAAUGCUUAGGAAUCUGCCUAUUAGUGGGGGACAACGUUCCGAAAGGAGCGCUAAUACCGCAUACGUCCUACGGGAGAAAGCAGGGGACCUUCGGGCCUUGCGCUAAUAGAUGAGCCUAAGUCGGAUUAGCUAGUUGGUAGGGUAAAGGCCUACCAAGGCGACGAUCUGUAGCGGGUCUGAGAGGAUGAUCCGCCACACUGGGACUGAGACACGGCCCAGACUCCUACGGGAGGCAGCAGUGGGGAAUAUUGGACAAUGGGGGGAACCCUGAUCCAGCCAUGCCGCGUGUGUGAAGAAGGCCUUUUGGUUGUAAAGCACUUUAAGCGAGGAGGAGGCUACCUAGAUUAAUACUUUAGGAUAGUGGACGUUACUCGCAGAAUAAGCACCGGCUAACUCUGUGCCAGCAGCCGCGGUAAUACAGAGGGUGCGAGCGUUAAUCGGAUUUACUGGGCGUAAAGCGUGCGUAGGCGGCCAAUUAAGUCAAAUGUGAAAUCCCCGAGCUUAACUUGGGAAUUGCAUUCGAUACUGGUUGGCUAGAGUAUGGGAGAGGAUGGUAGAAUUCCAGGUGUAGCGGUGAAAUGCGUAGAGAUCUGGAGGAAUACCGAUGGCGAAGCAGCCAUCUGGCCUAAUACUGACG